CCGCGUUCGCGCGACUGGCGAGAAGAGAUGGGCCACCAUCGGGGAACGCGAACGACAGCUGCCGCUCGCCUGGGCCCCCCUU
RNAcentral lists this non-coding RNA (82 nucleotides) under Devosia sp. Root413D1. RNAcentral describes it as "ZMP/ZTP riboswitch aptamer (pfl RNA motif)". It matches the Rfam family "ZMP/ZTP riboswitch aptamer (pfl RNA motif)". From Rfam's summary of the family: Previously known as pfl RNA. ZMP is also known as AICAR. Lineage: Bacteria; Pseudomonadati; Pseudomonadota; Alphaproteobacteria; Hyphomicrobiales; Devosiaceae. The record is from Rfam by way of RNAcentral. RNAcentral also lists the same sequence under 1 other name.